This 254-nucleotide ribosomal RNA is filed under the name uncultured bacterium. Its description in RNAcentral is "partial 16S ribosomal RNA". It matches the Rfam family "Bacterial small subunit ribosomal RNA", at positions 524 to 776 of the family's 1533-position model. The record is from RNAcentral.
UACGGAGGGUGCGAGCGUUGUCCGGAAUCAUUGGGCGUAAAGGGCGCGUAGGUGGCCCCUCAAGCGUGCGGUGAAAGUCAGGGGCUCAACCCCUGAUCGGCCGUGCGAACUGGGGAGCUUGAGCACUGUAGAGGCAGGCGGAAUUCCGGGUGUAGCGGUGAAAUGCGCAGAUAUCGGGAGGAACACCAAUUGCGGAAGGCAGCUUGCUGGGACGAUACUGACGCUGAGGCGCGAAAGCGUGGGGAGCAAACAGG